This is a non-coding RNA of Rattus norvegicus (Norway rat), 2180 nucleotides long. The record is from RefSeq and is a predicted model, not a curated record. NCBI's taxonomy places the organism in Eukaryota, Metazoa, Chordata, Mammalia, Rodentia, Muridae.
AGGUAGGUAUUGGGAUCUGGGCCCCAGUCUUCUGGAAGUACAAGUGUUCUUAUCCAUUGGCCCAUCAUUGCAGGCCUGGAUUGUAUUCUUGAAGCAAUUAGGUAAUUGUAGCUCCCAUCAUUGCAGGCCUGGAUUGUAUUCUUGAAGCAAUUAGGUAAUUGUAGCUCCCGUGUUCUCAUCAGCUUGAGUGGAUACCUGACCUCCCUGUGUGAAUGCUGUGACCACUGAGGUGGAGUCACUUGUGUCAAACCCUGAGUCUGAAGGCCCAAUCAGGAACUAGCAAAGAGAUUUUCCCAGACUGCAGCUCGUUUUAGAGCUGUUUGUAAAAGGCGCUCAGCUAAUGUGCUGUCUCCACAGAUGAACUGGACAGAUGUGAAUCCUCUGAGGAGCCGAGGACUCAAGGUGGGGCACGCUUGAGGAAUCUACGCAUGGCAUAUAUGACUCCAUUUAUGACAGUCAAUAGCAGAUGGGCAAGGAGGCGUCUGGGAGCCAGAAGAGGUAGAGUUUACAAAUGCAUUCUUCCUAGAUCUACGAACUUUUAUAAGUGCAAACGUUGGGAACUCUCCAUGGCUUCUCGGUCCACACAGUGAGGCCAGUGUCACCGAGCACCUGUAUGCCAGCCUCCUUCAUCCUCUGGGUCGGGGCUCAUGGUUGGUUCACUUGACAAACUGCUUCAGGACCCAUCUAUGGAGAAGUGGAGUAAAGAGAGGUGCCUCUCCCAGCCUCAGAUAAUCUAGGUGGAUGCCUGCAGGUGACCCCGGUCUUAAGGGAUGAGCGGUGAGUGAAGUGUUCUGGGGUGAAGAAGAGAGAGAAGUACAUGGUCAAAGGGAGGGAGUGAGAGAGCCGGGGUCAUAGUGGUGUGGCCAGGCAUGAGUCUGGGAGCCGGGCAAGGGCAGACUAUAAACUCUUCCUCGAGGUACAAGCGUGUGCUGGGGAAGUGCCACCAUUGAUUCUCCUCCAGGGAAUAAGACAGACAGACCAACCAGAGACACAACUCUGAGACAUUUCUCCUUCCUUAGUUAGGCGUGGCUCAGGUUUUGUAACACCCUCUGGUGGAGAGUCGCCCUCUGUAGGUUUGGAGGCCUUGGUUGGAGACGAUGCUCGGGGAUGUCUUGCGGGGGCACUCCAUAACAGAUUUGGGGUGCCCGUGCUGAGGCACCGCUCUUAAAAUGAACUCUCACUUGACCUCUGUCUCAUCCUAGAAAUCAGGCUUGGGGAGCUGUACAGCAAAGGAUAAUCCUGCAUUGCCGUGGCUCUGAGCAGCAGGGUGAGUUCCUCCAGCUUCUCUUUUGUCAGCACCAAUGAAACUGUAGCUGGCAGUCCUAAUGACCCUCGGCUACUGUUACAAAUGUCACAAAAAUGCCAUAGACCAGGGGACUUAAAGAAGGGAUCAGGAAGGGGGAGGGAAGGGAGGCCAGUUCAGAUAUGGGAGGAGAUGGGGGAGAAGUACAGAGGGUCAGGAAUUUGAAAGUAGGUGUGUAGCAGUGGGGGAGGGGGAACUGGGGGUAACCACUAGAAAGUCCCAGACGCCAGGGCCCAGGAGAUUCCCAGGACCCAACAGGGAGGACUUUAGCUGAAAUACCCAACAGGGAGAUAGAACGUGUAGAGACCAUAUCCAGUGGAUAGUCAUGACCCCCGGUUGAGGCAUGGGCCCAUCCACUCACUUCAAAUAUAUUAAUCCAGAAUUCCUCCUGUCAAAAGGAAAUGCAGGGACAAAGUGUAGAGCAGAAACUGAAGGAAAGGCCACCUAGGGAUCCAUCCCAUCUGCUGACACCAAAUCCAGACUCUGCUGCUGAUGCCAGGAAGGACUUACUGACAGGAGCUCGGUCAUAGUUGUCCCCUGAGAGGCUCCGCCAGAGCCAGACCAAUACAGAUGGGGAUGUAUACAGCCAAACAUCAAACUGAUGAUGGGGACCCCAACGGGGGAAGUUGGGGCAAGGGCUGUAGGAGCUGAAGGGGAUUGUAACCUCACAGGAAAAACAACAAUAUCAACCAACCAGACCCCCCCAAACCUUCCAGGGACUAAACCACCAACCAAACAGUACACAGAGGGUACCCAUGACUCCAGCCGCAUAUGUGGCAGAGGAUGGCCUUAUCUAGCAUCACUGGGAGGGGAGCCCCUUGGUCCUGUGGAGGCUCCAUGACCCAGGUAGGGGGACACUAGGUUGCUGAGGCAGGAG